AUCUUAUUUUCUAUUUACAGAAACUGAAACCCUCACAAAUAAACUGAUAUCAAUAAUUAACAUUGAUGGUGAUGGUGGCAAGGGUGCCUUCAUAAGGUGCCAUCCAGCAAGUCCCAGCCUGGAGCCAGAGGCUGGCACUGCACGUCAGAUGGGGGAGGAUCUGUUAGGCAUCAGAAAGGUGGUUUAAGCAAGAAGGAAAGAGCUUCUGCAGACAGUGUUGCAAUUAGACACCUGACUUUUACUGCCAAAGGGACCAUCAGAGCACCUCUCCCUACCAUCUAUACCAGAAGAGUACGGACAAGGGCCCAAAAUGUUUUAAAGGACGUUGCACGCCCAGACCAUGGACUGUUUAAACCACUGUGGUCAAGCAGAAGUCUCUGUUCUCACUCGAGGCAGGUCAUUGAGAGGGGGCGAGUGUCACUGCGUAAGCCCCCUACUGCAGGCGAGAAAGCCAUGUUGAUUUGAAUAUUGAUUGAUAAAUACAAUAAAGGCCAUGUAACAAA
This is a long non-coding RNA of Alosa alosa (allis shad), 503 nucleotides long. RefSeq lists it as uncharacterized. The record is from RefSeq and is a predicted model, not a curated record. The transcript has 3 exons. NCBI's taxonomy places the organism in Eukaryota, Metazoa, Chordata, Actinopteri, Clupeiformes, Clupeidae.